Molecule: ribosomal RNA, 481 nt
Filed under: uncultured bacterium
Lineage: Bacteria
Description: partial 16S ribosomal RNA
Rfam family: Bacterial small subunit ribosomal RNA
Source: RNAcentral
GAUGAACGCUGGCGGCGUGCUUAACACAUGCAAGUCGAACGAAGCAUUUGCGACAGAUUUUUUCGGAAGGAAGUUGCUUAUGACUGAGUGGCGGGCGGGUGAGGAACGCGUGGGUAACCUGCCUUGUACUGGGGGAUAGCAGCUGGAAACGGGUGGUAAUACCGCAUAAGCGCACAAUGUUGCAUGACAUGGUGUGAAAAACUCCGGUGGUAUAAGAUGGACCCGCGUCUGAUUAGCUAGUUGGUGAGAUUACAGCACACCAAGGCGACGAUCAGUAGCCGACCUGAGAGGGUGACAGGCCACAUUGGGACUGAGACACGGCCCAGAAUCCUACGGGAGGCAGCAGUGGGGAAUAUUGCACAAUGGAGGAAACUCUGAUGAAGCGACGCCGCGUGAGUGAAGAAGUAAUUCGUUAUGUAAAGCUCUAUCAGCAGGGAAGAUAGUGACGGUACCUGACUAAGAAGCUCCGGCUAAAUACGUG